GGCCCCUUAGCUCAACUGGAUAGAGCACGGUCCUUCUAAGUCCGGGGUUGCAGGUUCGAGUCCUGCAGGGGUCG
This 74-nucleotide transfer RNA is filed under the name Jhaorihella thermophila. RNAcentral's name for it is "Rhodovulum thermophilus tRNA". It matches the Rfam family "tRNA". Rfam says of the family: Transfer RNA (tRNA) molecules are approximately 80 nucleotides in length. Their secondary structure includes four short double-helical elements and three loops (D, anti-codon, and T loops). Further hydrogen bonds mediate the characteristic L-shaped molecular structure. tRNAs have two regions of fundamental functional importance: the anti-codon, which is responsible for specific mRNA codon recognition, and the 3' end, to which the tRNAs corresponding amino acid is attached (by aminoacyl-tRNA synthetases). tRNAs cope with the degeneracy of the genetic code in two manners: having more than one tRNA (with a specific anti-codon) for a particular amino acid; and 'wobble' base-pairing, i.e. permitting non-standard base-pairing at the 3rd anti-codon position. The record is from Rfam by way of RNAcentral. Lineage: Bacteria; Pseudomonadati; Pseudomonadota; Alphaproteobacteria; Rhodobacterales; Paracoccaceae.